CGGCCAAACAUUAAACAUUUUAUAAUAAUAAUAAUAAUAAUAAUGCAUUUUAUUUAUGGGCGCCUUUCUGAACACUCAAGGUCACCUUACAAAAUCAACAAUAAAACAUUCAAUCUAUUAAACAA
This is a long non-coding RNA of Alosa sapidissima (American shad), 125 nucleotides long. RefSeq lists it as uncharacterized. The transcript is spliced from 3 exons. The record is from RefSeq and is a predicted model, not a curated record. Lineage: Eukaryota; Metazoa; Chordata; Actinopteri; Clupeiformes; Clupeidae.